This 321-nucleotide unclassified non-coding RNA is filed under the name uncultured Sordariomycetes. RNAcentral's name for it is "sequence contains ITS1". The stretch from base 1 to 103 matches the Rfam family "5.8S ribosomal RNA", at positions 50 to 154 of the family's 154-position model. The record is from RNAcentral. Lineage: Eukaryota; Fungi; Ascomycota; Sordariomycetes.
AAGUUGCGAUACGUAGUGUGAACUGCGUCUAUUAGUGAAUCAUCGAAUCUUUGAACGCACAUUGCGCCGCCCGUCGCUGGGUGGCAUGCCUGUCUGAGCGUCGCUCUAAACCCUCACACCCCAAUUGGGUUGUGGUCAUGGGCCUCGCCCCUCCCUUCCAUUGGGUGGGGCGUGGCCUGAAAGGCAUCGGUCGCUGGCCCCCCUUUGGGUCUCGGUGUGCGAGUCUGCUUGACGUCUCGCCGGGACCGAUCGGGGGCAGGGGAGACCCUAAACUUCUGAACCUUUGACCUCAGAUCAGGUAGGACUACGGGCUGAACUUAA